UUCAUUCAUUUUAAUUCGGUCUAUUCCUUGUUUGAGUCAUUUUCAUUGAGAAAUCGUAUCCUGUUUUGUCACAGUCAUGUGUAAUCGUUUUUUUUUUGUUAUAAACUCUGGUUUUAAAAUCGUGUUACUAUUGCCUCUGGAAAUCUGAGUGAAUAAACAUUUUCUGCACAAUCAUAUGAGCUAUGACAAUCUUUAUGAAGAGCUCAAGUGCAUGAUUGGUGUCAAUCAUUUCAGAAUCAGUGCAGAGUUGUGUUGGUUGCAGUUGCAUUGAUCUGUUUGAACUGUUACAGUCACUAUUUCAUUGGUUGGAUUUGGUCUGAAUUGNUGAUUUGAAUGUCUGGAAAUGCUUAAUUCAAGCUAAUACAGGAUGAAUACCAUAUAAGCAUUAGAUUGCCUUUGCAAUUGGCUUGGUAGUAUCACUGGAAAGUUCAAAUAUGCACCAAUUCUGCAGUUGACCGAUGUGCAUUGUAUUGUUUGAGUCCAGUUUUUGUUUUUCUUAAUUUGGUUUAGCAUUAGAUCAUUGCUGGACAUCUUCCAUUAAUUUCAUAGUGUUUGU
RNAcentral lists this long non-coding RNA (556 nucleotides) under Vigna radiata. Its description in RNAcentral is "long non-coding RNA (VRAD_LNC013185)". Lineage: Eukaryota; Viridiplantae; Streptophyta; Magnoliopsida; Fabales; Fabaceae. The record is from RNAcentral.